RNAcentral lists this microRNA (22 nucleotides) under Dasypus novemcinctus (nine-banded armadillo). Its description in RNAcentral is "dno-miR-1298-5p". The record is from miRBase by way of RNAcentral. Lineage: Eukaryota; Metazoa; Chordata; Mammalia; Cingulata; Dasypodidae.
UCCAUUCAGCUGUCCAAAUGUA